UACGAAGGGGGCUAGCGUUGCUCGGAAUCACUGGGCGUAAAGCGCACGUAGGCGGCUUCUUAAGUCAGGGGUGAAAUCCUGGAGCUCAACUCCAGAACUGCCUUUGAUACUGGGAAGCUUGAGUUCGGGAGAGGUGAGUGGAACUGCGAGUGUAGAGGUGAAAUUCGUAGAUAUUCGCAAGAACACCAGUGGCGAAGGCGGCUCACUGGCCCGAUACUGACGCUGUGGUGCGAAAGCGUGGGGAGCAAACAGG
RNAcentral lists this ribosomal RNA (253 nucleotides) under uncultured bacterium. RNAcentral's name for it is "partial 16S ribosomal RNA". It matches the Rfam family "Bacterial small subunit ribosomal RNA", at positions 524 to 776 of the family's 1533-position model. The record is from RNAcentral.